GCGUCCGUAGCUCAGCUGGAUAGAGUACCUGGCUACGAACCAGGCGGUCAGAGGGUCGAAUCCUCUCGGACGCGCCA
This 77-nucleotide transfer RNA is filed under the name Vibrio mimicus SX-4. RNAcentral describes it as "tRNA-Arg". It matches the Rfam family "tRNA". Rfam says of the family: Transfer RNA (tRNA) molecules are approximately 80 nucleotides in length. Their secondary structure includes four short double-helical elements and three loops (D, anti-codon, and T loops). The record is from RNAcentral. Lineage: Bacteria; Pseudomonadati; Pseudomonadota; Gammaproteobacteria; Vibrionales; Vibrionaceae.